CUUAUUAGGGAAUUUUCGUCAAUGGGGGGAACCCUGAACGAGCAAUGCCGCGUGAGUGAUGAAGGAUUUCGGUCUGUAAAGCUCUGUUGUAAAGGAAAAACGGCCACCAUAGGGAAUGAUGGUGGAAUGAUGGUACUUUACCAGAAAGCCACGGCUAACUACGUG
Molecule: ribosomal RNA, 165 nt
Filed under: uncultured bacterium
Lineage: Bacteria
Description: partial 16S ribosomal RNA
Rfam family: Bacterial small subunit ribosomal RNA
Source: RNAcentral